This 252-nucleotide ribosomal RNA is filed under the name uncultured bacterium. RNAcentral describes it as "partial 16S ribosomal RNA". It matches the Rfam family "Bacterial small subunit ribosomal RNA", at positions 524 to 776 of the family's 1533-position model. The record is from RNAcentral.
GACGUAGGGGGCCAGCGUUGUUCGGAAUUACUGGGUGUAAAGGGUUCGUAGGCGGUGCGGCAAGUUGGGAGUGAAAUCUCUGGGCUUAACCCAGAGGCUGCUUCCAAAACUGCUGUGCUUGAGUGUGGGAGAGGCGCGUGGAAUUGCAGGUGUAGCGGUGAAAUGCGUAGAUAUCUGCAGGAACACCCGUGGCGAAAGCGGCGCGCUGGACACUACUGACGCUGAGGAACGAAAGCUAGGGGAGCAAACAGG